AAGGCUUGACAUACACUGCGAUGGUUCCAGAGAUGGGCCAGCCUUCGGGGUGGUGUACAGGUGGUGCAUGGUU
This 73-nucleotide ribosomal RNA is filed under the name uncultured Mobiluncus sp. Its description in RNAcentral is "partial 16S ribosomal RNA". The record is from RNAcentral. Lineage: Bacteria; Bacillati; Actinomycetota; Actinomycetes; Actinomycetales; Actinomycetaceae.